RNAcentral lists this ribosomal RNA (1095 nucleotides) under Clostridioides difficile. RNAcentral's name for it is "partial 23S ribosomal RNA". It matches the Rfam family "Bacterial large subunit ribosomal RNA", at positions 1 to 1097 of the family's 2925-position model. Lineage: Bacteria; Bacillati; Bacillota; Clostridia; Peptostreptococcales; Peptostreptococcaceae. The record is from RNAcentral.
GGUUAAGUGAAUAAGGGCGCACGGUGGAUGCCUUGGCACUAGGAGCCGAUGAAGGACGGGACUAACACCGAUAUGCUUUGGGGAGCUGUAAGUAAGCUAUGAUCCAGAGAUUUCCGAAUGGGGGAACCCAAUAUCUUUUAUAGGAUAUUACUUUUCAGUGAAUACAUAGCUGAUUAGAGGUAGACGCAGAGAACUGAAACAUCUUAGUACCUGCAGGAAGAGAAAGAAAAUUCGAUUCCCUGAGUAGCGGCGAGCGAAACGGGAAGAGCCCAAACCAACAAGCUUGCUUGUUGGGGUUGUAGGACUCCGAUAUGGUAGUCUGUUAGUAUAGUUGAAGGAUUUGGAAAAUUCCGCUAAAGAGGGUGAAAGCCCCGUAGACGAAAUGCUGACAACACCUAGGAGGAUCCUGAGUACGGCGGAACACGAGAAAUUCCGUCGGAAUCCGCGGGGACCAUCCCGCAAGGCUAAAUACUCCCUAGUGACCGAUAGUGAACCAGUACCGUGAGGGAAAGGUGAAAAGCACCCCGGAAGGGGAGUGAAAUAGAUCCUGAAACCGUGUGCCUACAACAAGUCAAAGCUCGUUAAUGAGUGAUGGCGUGCCUUUUGUAGAAUGAACCGGCGAGUUACGAUUGCAUGCGAGGUUAAGUCGAAGAGACGGAGCCGUAGCGAAAGCGAGUCUGAAUAGGGCGAAUGAGUAUGUAGUCGUAGACCCGAAACCAUGUGAUCUACCCAUGUCCAGGUUGAAGGUGCGGUAAAACGCACUGGAGGACCGAACCCACGUACGUUGAAAAGUGCGGGGAUGAGGUGUGGGUAGCGGAGAAAUUCCAAACGAACUUGGAGAUAGCUGGUUCUCUCCGAAAUAGCUUUAGGGCUAGCCUCGGAAUUGAGAAUGAUGGAGGUAGAGCACUGUUUGGACUAGGGGCCCAUCUCGGGUUACCGAAUUCAGAUAAACUCCGAAUGCCAUUCAUUUAUAUCCGGGAGUCAGACUGCGAGUGAUAAGAUCCGUAGUCGAAAGGGAAACAGCCCAGACCACCAGCUAAGGUCCCAAAAUAUAUGUUAAGUGGAAAAGGAUGUGGGGUUGCACAGACAACUAGG